CCUACGUGAGGCAGCAGUGGGGGAUAUUGCACAAUGGGGGAAACCCUGAUGCAGCGACGCCGCGUGUGGGAAGACGGUCCUCUGGAUUGUAAACCACUGUCCCCAGGGACGAAGCUGACGGUACCUGGGGAGGAAGCUCCGGCUAACUACGUGCCAGCAGCCGCGGUAAUACGUAGGGAGCGAGCGUUGUCCGGAAUUACUGGGUGUAAAGGGAGCGUAGGCGGGACUGCAAGUUGGGUGUCAAAUCUACCGGCUCAACCGGUAGCCGCACUCAAAACUGCAGUUCUUGAGUGAAGUAGAGGCAGGCGGAAUUCCUAGUGUAGCGGUGAAAUGCGUAGAUAUUAGGAGGAACACCAGUGGCGAAGGCGGCCUGCUGGGCUUUUACUGACGCUGAGGCUCGAAAGUGUGGGGAGCAAACAGGAUUAGAUACCCUAGUAGUC
This 440-nucleotide ribosomal RNA is filed under the name uncultured bacterium. RNAcentral describes it as "partial 16S ribosomal RNA". It matches the Rfam family "Bacterial small subunit ribosomal RNA", at positions 338 to 795 of the family's 1533-position model. The record is from RNAcentral.